UACGUAGGUGGCAAGCGUUGUCCGGAAUUAUUGGGCGUAAAGGGCGCGCAGGCGGCGUCGUAAGUCGGUCUUAAAAGUGCGGGGCUUAACCCUGUGAGGGGACCGAAACUGCGAUGCUAGAGUAUCGGAGAGGAAAGCGGAAUUCCUAGUGUAGCGGUGAAAUGCGUAGAUAUUAGGAGGAACACCAGUGGCGAAAGCGGCUUUCUGGACGACAACUGACGCUGAGGCGCGAAAGCCAGGGGAGCAAACGGG
This 252-nucleotide ribosomal RNA is filed under the name Megasphaera elsdenii DSM 20460. RNAcentral describes it as "partial 16S ribosomal RNA". It matches the Rfam family "Bacterial small subunit ribosomal RNA", at positions 524 to 776 of the family's 1533-position model. Lineage: Bacteria; Bacillati; Bacillota; Negativicutes; Veillonellales; Veillonellaceae. The record is from RNAcentral.